UGGUGGAGUGAUUUGUCUGGUUAAUUCCGAUAACGAACGAGACCUUAACCUGCUAAAUAGUUCCGUCAACCUUGGUUGGUAGGAACUUCUUAGAGGGACUAACUACGUUUAGUAGUUGGAAGUUUGAGGCAAUAACA
RNAcentral lists this ribosomal RNA (137 nucleotides) under uncultured eukaryote. RNAcentral's name for it is "partial 18S ribosomal RNA". It matches the Rfam family "Eukaryotic small subunit ribosomal RNA", at positions 1299 to 1458 of the family's 1831-position model. The record is from RNAcentral.